CUCUCUCCGCCCUCGCAGGACGACUACCGCAAGCUGCUGACCAAGUACGCCGCGGCCGAGAACACCAUCGACCAGCUGCGGCUGGGCGCCAAGGUGAGCCUGUACGCCGACCUGCCGAAGCCCAGCCACAGCGUCCACAUGGGGACCGUGGGGACYGGCUCCAAGGUCAUGGCCUUCAGCAUCCCACAGGCGAGGGCGGCGGCGAUCAGCGCUGCCCCUGCCCCAGCCCUGCGGCCCUCUCUGGAUGGAGAGCCAGCACAAGGAGCAGCCAGCCAGGGGAUGUCACCUCAGCCUCGUUUUCCUCCUUUGCCCGGUGCGGGCUGCUCUGCAUGCCCAGGAGAGUGCAGGUGCCCAGGGCAGCACCCAUGCCYGGGAACCCAGCUCACGCGGACACUGGCGGGACAAACCCGCAAGUUUCAGGCUCAGGUGGAGUCCUUCGAAGCCUGGGUCCAGGCGGGAAAGUCCACACCACAGGAGCAGCUCCAGAGAUUUAGGAAGCUGRAGGACACUCAGGACGUGCUGGAGCGAGCAUAUCUGCAAGCCCGGGAGGAGAACCGCAGGCUGCAACAGCACCGGGGAGCCUCAGGGGAGUUUGAUCCAGACCGCACGGUGGAAGGGG
RNAcentral lists this long non-coding RNA (619 nucleotides) under Dromaius novaehollandiae (emu). Its description in RNAcentral is "lncRNA (ENSDNVG00000019135.1)". Lineage: Eukaryota; Metazoa; Chordata; Aves; Casuariiformes; Dromaiidae. The record is from RNAcentral.